Molecule: long non-coding RNA, 1063 nt
Filed under: Homo sapiens (human)
Lineage: Eukaryota; Metazoa; Chordata; Mammalia; Primates; Hominidae
Description: HSALNT0334034
Source: RNAcentral
CCGCCGCGAUCCCUGCGCACCACGGCCCUGCCCGCCACGGGGCGAGCCCGAUAAGAGGGCUGUGGACGUUCGGGUCUAGUUGGGAGAGACAGGGGUCCCUGACUCUUGAGCGGUCAGUCAUUUCCUCCCCAGUCCUUGUGGGUGACGUGGCUACGGUUUGGAGCAGCAAGCCCCCUCCCCGAACUAAAGGGCCUCUCCAAAGGUUAAGCCAGGGCAGUCAUUGAGGUCAAAACCAAUAUGUAGUUUCUUGACUGCAGGUGCCUGCACGACUCCCAGAAAGUCGCGUCUCCCCUAACCCCCAUGCCCAGGACCUGAGGACAAAGGUCUAGCGAUUGUCCAUCCCCUCCCCCAGUGAGGACAGCCGGGAAAGACCUGCCUUUGUUGUGUACAGGUGGUAUCUCACUGUGUUAUCCAGACUGGACUCAAAUUUCUGGGCUCCAAUGGUCCUCUCACCUCAGCCUCCCAAGUAGUCAGGACUACAGGUAACUUGUGUGCCGUGAUAGCACAGCCAAUACUUUGGAGACUUGAGCAAAUGGUGGAGGGAAAUGCCAAUCAAUAAUAUUGAUGAUAAAUGUUUACCAGAUGUCUGAUCAAUCAAUAAUGAAGCAAAACAGAAACAGGAACAAAAUGAAACAAAAAUUAAGAACUCCAUGGCAAUGUUUUGAGGAUUAAAGAGGAGAGUGAUGACUAUCCAAACGUCAGAGAACGCAACUAUGAGACUAGAGACACUGGAAAACUAAAAAAGUAACGGGCCUUUGCUGACUCAGGGAGAUGAUUUCCCAAGAGGGAAGAAAACUGGAACCUGAGAAAUAAGUGAUUUAGUAAUGUGGCUGCUAAAAUACGGAAAAACUAGAAUGAAUGGCUUACACAUUUUUGAAAUGAAGUUAGAAGAGGGUUAUACUGUGAAGAAGAAUGAAAAAGCCAAACAUUUCAUUCAGGUAAGCAUAUCACAUAGGAGAAACUCUAGGUGACUUUGGUUUGGCAGUGAGUUUUUAGAUACAACACCAAAGCACAAUCCAUAAAAGAAAAGAAAGAUAGAUAAGUUGGACUUCAUUAAAAUGAA